Molecule: long non-coding RNA, 5782 nt
Filed under: Zea mays
Lineage: Eukaryota; Viridiplantae; Streptophyta; Magnoliopsida; Poales; Poaceae
Description: long non-coding RNA (ZMAY_LNC003465)
Source: RNAcentral
GAGGCGCAAGAAGAUGUAGAGAACUCGUCUCCCUUCCCAUAAGCACGACAGAGGAAACACACGAGACACUGGAUAUAGGGUUGGGCCUCUGGCCUCUUUCUCUUCUCUAUUCCAUAUGAGAGGUGCAGGUUCUAUAUAUAGAGACGCGAUAGCCCUCAGGGCUAUAUUCGGUAUUUGCCCACAUAACCCUUCAUUAGGGUUUCUCAACACUCCCCCUUGGGCGAAUACCGCGACCAACACAUGCCUCGUUAAAACUCCAAAAAAACCCAGUGGGAAAAAUAUGGAGAAAGAGUGCAUGGUGAUACAAAUUGCAUUUGCACUUUGUUGCCUCGUUAAAAAUCUCAUGUGAGAAACUUCAAGAAAACUCACCAAGGGAAAAAGAGUACAACAGCUGUCAUCGGGACAGAUUUCGAUCCUCUGGGAUCUAGAUUCUACUGAAUCUUCUACAAAGGCUAACUUUAGAAAUAUGCUCCCCCUGAUCACAUAUUUGAUAGAAACUUCCAUAAAGGUUCACAUAUUGAUCAUCAAGCUGACGCCUUCAGGGCAUAGAAUAUGACAUUUAUUGUCACACGAUUGUGAUCAAUAUAAGCAUUCGCUCCCCCUGAUGAUGACAUAUGUCAAAGUCGUUAUCCCUCAUAACUCAAGCAUAUUCUUCAAGAUAUAUAUCUCAUUGUUCAUCUGGAAUAACGAGAAUGGAUGAGGUUGGGGUGCUAUCAUUUUCUAUCUUACACCACAAUUUAUACAUAGUUGUGCAAAGCAAAUAACAUGUCCUUCAAUAGGACUUAGGGGAUAAUAUAGUUGCAAUAGUACAUAUUCUAAAUAUGACACAUCGCUCGAGGCGUUCAUCCAUUGCAACAUCUAUGAUGAUGUCACAAAAGUCCAUCUAAGAUCGUAAUCCAUCAGGGAUUUUUCAUCGAUCAGAUACAUCAUUAUAGUCUAUCAUUCUGGCAUAAUGGGGAUAUUUUGCCAGUAACACCUAAACCUUAUAGGUUUCUGCCAUCGGGGCUUUAGAGGAUACCGUAAUUCCACAUCAAGUGAAAAUACCAUGAGUAAAACUCGUGGAAUGCACAUGUGCUUAUUCGAUGAACUUCAAGUCCUUUGGUACCUCAUCUUAUUCCUUUUCGGGUCUGUAUGGGUCUUUAUCCCUUUAUAGGGAUUAUCAAACUUUGGUGUUUAACACAGACUUUAUGUCUUCUGGAAAGGUUCCAUCUAGGAACUAUAAUCUCAAAUAGAAGAUAUUCUCUCUACAUAGGAGAGUGUUCAUUCGUCGGGAAUGUAUUAUUUGAUACUAGAUUUAUAUGUUGCAUAUUUAUAAUUCAAAGAUAUGAGUCCUCCUAGGAUCUCAUGACGGAUCUUCAGAAUCCUAUUAACUGCAUAUUUUAAUUCAUGCCAUUUGCCAGAUAAAAUACAUAGCGGAACAGUGGUUAUUCAAUACAUAUGUGGGAUGGGUCUCUCACAAGACCACUUGAACCAUCGCAUUCACCACACAUUAUUUCAAUAGUGCCCAUAAAUGUCCGAACUUCAAGCUCGUGACUUUCAUUUUGCGAUUAUUGGUUCAGCCCCGAUUGCAUUUAUCAAUGACCCGAUAAGAGAACUUAAAGCACUCAUGCCUAGGACUUUGUUUUGGAUCCCUUUGCAAUCUAGAGAGGCAAGAUAGGUGUCGACACAUUUGUCUCCCACAUUUAAUAAUGAUCUCCGUCAUUUCCCAAAACGAAAGAUUCAUUGUUCCGUAUUCCCAGCACAAUGAUAUUGCGUGCAUUGCUAGGAAUUUCAUCAUCAAGAUGAACCUCUUCGUGAGGCAAAUCACCAUCAGGGUGAAUUAAUCAGAGGAGAGUUAUCACAGACCACAUGAAUCUGCAAUCAGAACAUAUGCUUUGACUAAGGCCAAUGGACCAUAUCCGCAGGCGUCCCCGAGAAUAGAUCAAAUGCCAAUAAGUCAAAUGUGGAUAUGAUAUUAAUCCCGGGUAUAUCCACAUCUACAUCAGGUAGAAGCAUUCAAACCAAUAUGGUUACUCCUCAACGAUUUCUGGCAAACUCCAUAUACACAGGAGUACACUCUGAACGACGAGUUCAGUUUGGCUUUUGUGCGUUUAAUAGAAUAUUGAGGCAUUACACUAUAUGGGCAUUCCUCCCCCUAAUGCCGAGAUGUUCUAAAAGCAUACAGAUAAAAUCCCCAACCACAAUCAUCCAGUUGUGGCCAAUGUAUGCUAUUGUGGUGAUUUAUUUGGGAAAUCUUACGCACAUUACAGAUAGGGGUUUUAUGCAGUGAGCUUUGGACUUAGAUUAAUGUAGUGGCAUGAAUACUACAUAUUUGUCCUUCACAUGAAGGGUUAGUCUCAACAUCCAGCGAGACUCGCAACAACAAGUUGCUUCAUAGUUAUAAUUCUGCAAACUUAUUGUUAUUAUUACCAAAUGCACAGUCAAUCAUUAAGAUUUAGACUGAUAUACGCAACACUAUUUUAUGCAUAGGGGUCCCUCAGAGGCUCAUGCACACCAUUCGUCGUUUGGAGCUAGUAGUUGACUUCAGAUCAACAACUAAAAUGACCAUCAGGGUCUAGCGCUCACAAGGACAUUCACUGGUUGCAUUGUGCUUUCAAGCACAUAGGAGAAUAUGUGUGUAUAUAAUGGUGGUAAAGUGCACGGCAUCAGGCCAAUGCUGCCAAGCAAAGAUUUUUAUAUGCAGAGAUGUAUAGUCCACCUCGUUUUAUUAUUGCCCAUGGUUUACCCAAUUACUCAUACCGAUAUGAAAUUGGGUAUCAAUUUAUGCAACAUUUUUAGGUAUUAUAAUUUUGAGAGAGAACUUAUAACAAUAGUCAAUUAUUUAUGGUGUUACCAGCAGGGCAAAUAUUUCUCCUCAUAUUAUAUACCAACUUGUUCUAUAAAGCAUUAUUUCGAUCUCUUCAUUGUUCAGCAAAAAGAGAAGUUUUGGAAUAGAACAGACAAGGCCAAGAAUUCAUUUUAUCUGGGAAAAAUCAUCAUAUAACUAGCUUUUGAUGAAGUAAAUGAUGAUAACUGCUUGGCAAGAACAAAACAAUAUUGGUAUCUGCGUAGGAUCCAUCUUCAACAACAGAUAGUACUGCUCUCAUACGAAUAAAUCAUCAGGGGUAGAGAGGAUACAACAGGUCUCUACAAGAUCUUCAUAUUUCUAUCACUAGUAGUCUAGUGGUCAAGACAUAUGACUCUUCUGGCUCCGAGGACCAAGGACAUGCUAAUGUCUAAUUUAGCUUCAAGCUCUAUUGUGAUGUGGAAUAUCAUAAUUAUUUGUCUACUCUUCUCAUUUCUGGUAGAUCGGAGGUAGAUAAUGGUAAGCAUGCCAAAGGGUAGAAUUCAGUGUAGUUCGGCUACAUAAACCUCAGGUAUGUGUCCAUUCAGGACCGACCUUUACCAUUUAGCUUACACUAUAUACCAAACUUGUCAAAGGACUAUCUCGAGUCAAUUCAGUGACUAUAGGUAUUUACAAUUCCGAGAGAUGUAUGCGACACAAGCAUAGAGGUCCUAGAUAGAACGAGUAAAGUGGUUCGACGAGAACACACUAUGGUUUUCACACCAACAUAGUGAAAAAUUUCUCAGAAUAACCUCUCGGUAUAAUCGCAACUUCGUGUUGCUAGCAGUUACAUGUCCUUUUAUCUUAUAGUUUGUUUCAUGUCAUCCAGCGACAAAGAGAGCAAUGUGCUAACAUCUGGUUAAGCAAUGUAUGACUGAGAUUUCUGAUCUUAAAUCAUUUGGUAAGGUCUUUUUGCUUACUAAUAUAAUCCCAAUUUGUGAUAUCUUCUAUGCCAAAAAGGCUUUCAUGCAUUAUAUUAUAUAUCUUCAGGUUACUUCGGGUAAAACUUUAUGCAUGAGGAGAGAGCAGAUAAUUAACUUAUCCAUGUUCUGUUGUAUUUCAAUUUAAUUUCCCAGAUUAUUCAAGCACUAUAGAGCUUGAUAUAGUUGUUAUGGCCACUUGGCGAUAUAUAUAAAUAUAUGAUGCCACACAACACAAUCAAAUAAAAUAUAGAGUCAAACAAAAUUGUUUAUAAAGGUUGCGGUAUGAUGUGACUUCAGGGGCUUGAACAACCCACCGCAAUCCACGCGAGUACAAGCUCUAGCGUCUAGUGUCAAUGCGUGUGCGGCCAUCAGGGCCACGACAACACAACAAAGCCUUCGUAAUAAGCGCAACAGACACAAUUAUGGCUCGGUAAUCGGGGUACACGAUAAGUCCACGCAACGUGCGCAACAGGCGCAAUUGUGGCUCGAUGAUAACGACAAACGAACAGUGCCUACAGGGCAUGCGAAAAGUAUGUGACUCGGCGAUGGAGGUCCAACUGAACAGGAGUGGUCCGAUUAAGUGAGAGCGCGACAUAGCAAUCACAUGACGCAGCCAAGUUCGUACGACACAAAUACUGCGUCGUGUUGCCAGGGCGCAGCCAGUGCUCAGCCAAUGCCAUAACUCGGUCGAUUACCAACGCAGCCUGAUCGGCGUGUCCGAGUACCCACUAUACAAUUUAAUUGCUCGACGUGAGUCCAAAAGCUCAACAUAAUAUAAAUAUUUAGAGCGAUUUAAGUAUGCACAAUAAAGCCUUCAUAUGUAUUUUAAUUUUCUGCUAAGUAUCUUCUACAGGAAAUAAAAGCAGAAAACAAACAUAAUAAAUAAUUAAUGCAUAAACAUAACACAUCAUGUGUAAAAGGCAAUUUUUCAUAUUUAAGCAUGUGUUUUUCUACUAAUUAUUUACACCGGAAAAUAAUUAAUUAAGGUAGAAAUGACAACAUAAAACAUGCUUUAUUUUAUUUUUGUCAAGCAAAUCAAGGAGUUGCUUAGAUUAUUUUCAUAUAACGGUGGGAUGAGUAAUUUAGACGAGGGGCUACUCCAUGUUGGUGUACGGCUGGAAACGGCCAUCGGCUGCAACGCAUGCGGCCCCUAGAAAGCACGUAGCCUUAUUGUUUAUCCAACCCAAAAGGAGCAGAGGAAAGGAAAUGGUCCACGACAUAUCAUUUGCUCUUGUUUGCACACUGCACUGUGAUAUGCGAACUCCUCUCUCUCUCCUUUCUUUUCUCAGCCACUCAUCACGCCUGGUCAAAGAAGUGCAUGCACAUUUUUUUAGCCGGAUGACCCGCUCUUGGGAGCUCCUGCAUGCGUGGGGAUGAGAGCCCCACCACCACACAUUUUUUUUACUCAGUAAAAGGAGGAGUGCAUGCACGCAUGCAAGUGCUGCACUCUCUCCCUCGGUUGAACGGUUCAGAGGAGAGAUCAGACCACAUCCAUUUAGGCUAGGCCAGUUUAUUGCCGUAUCUUUGACCAUGCACGCAAGAUUUCUCCCAACGCGUGGGCGCAACACCACUACGUCAAUCGCAGUUUGUCGCGCAUGAAUUACAAUCCGUACACAAUAACGGAUCAACCAAUAAACAUACCGCUCGUGUGUAGAGGGAGAAUCGAAGCCUGUCGCGUAGGACAGUUCGGCUAGGCCGGAGGACCUGCCGGCUUGACGAAGAGUUGAUGCAGAUCUGAUCUCGCAGCAACAUCGAGGUAGAGCGUGUUGAUAACGUGUUGAGAACUACGUUACCACGGAUCACCAGAUCCGCUCCCUUCCCUCCUGUCAGCAGUAGAGGCGCAAGAAGAUGUAGAGAACCCGUCUCCCUUCCCAUAAGCACGACAGAGGAAACACACGAGACACUGGAUAUAGGGUUGGGCCUCUGGCCUCUUUCUCUUCUCUAUUCCAUAUAAGAGGUGCAGGUUCUAUAUAUAGAGACGCGAUAGCCCUCAGGGCUAUAUUCGGUAUUUGCCCACAUAACCCUUCAUUAGGGU